UACGUAGGGGGCAAGCGUUGUCCGGAAUUACUGGGCGUAAAGCGCGCGUAGGCGGCUGACUAAGUCGGGUGUGAAAGCCCCGGGCUCAACCUGGGAAUUGCAUUCGAUACUGGUUGGCUGGAGUCUGGUAGAGGGGUGUGGAAUUCCAGGUGUAGCGGUGAAAUGCGUAGAUAUCUGGAGGAACAUCAGUGGCGAAGGCGGCACCCUGGACCAAGACUGACGCUGAGGUGCGAAAGCGUGGGUAGCAAACAGGAUUAGAUACCCUGGUAGUCCACGCCGUAAACGAUGAGAACUAGCCGUUGGGCGGAUUAGCCUCUUAGUGGCGAAGCUAACGCGAUAAGUUCUCCGCCUGGGGAGUACGGCCGCAAGGUUAAA
This 375-nucleotide ribosomal RNA is filed under the name uncultured bacterium. RNAcentral's name for it is "bacterial SSU rRNA". It matches the Rfam family "Bacterial small subunit ribosomal RNA", at positions 524 to 898 of the family's 1533-position model. The record is from RNAcentral.